This is a non-coding RNA of Paramuricea clavata, 285 nucleotides long. The record is from the annotation of a GenBank genome assembly. NCBI's taxonomy places the organism in Eukaryota, Metazoa, Cnidaria, Anthozoa, Malacalcyonacea, Plexauridae.
GCCGUCUUAUCUCAAAGCACGAAAUGUUCUGUUUUGAGAAAACAGUAUUUAAAACAUUUAAACUUUUGCUUGAAUAUCUUAUAUUUCGAAAAACAGUAUAAACUGUACGGUCUAAAUUUAGUUUGCACGGUCUAAAUUUAGUUUGCACGAAAGUUGUAAACAACACCAUAUAAGGAUAGACAUUCCAUAUUUGGAAAAACGAACGUUACGGGGCAGAUAUUCAAAUUCAUCAGUCAUCGAUGCAGGCUCUCAAUUCAGCUUGAGAGCCUGUUCGCAGGCUAUAAC